AUUGAACGCUGGCGGCAGGCCUAACACAUGCAAGUCGAACGAGUGGCGGACGGGUGAGUAAUGUCUGGGAAACUGCCUGAUGGAGGGGGAUAACUACUGGAAACGGUAGCUAAUACCGCAUACCAUCAGAUGUGCCCAGAUGGGAUUCACGAGUUGGUGGGGUAACGGCGCACCAAGGCGACGAGCCCUAGCUGGUCUGAGAGGAUGACCGGCCACAUUGGGACUGAGACACGGUCCAGACUCCUACGGGAGGAAGCAGUGGGGAAUAUUGGACAAUGGGAGCAAGCCUGAUGCAGCCAUGCCGCGUGUAUGAAGAAGGCCUUCGGAUUGUAAAGUACUUUCAGCGGGGAGGCGUUACCCGCAGAAGAAGCACCGGCUAACUCCGUGCCAGCAGCCGCGGUAGUAC
RNAcentral lists this ribosomal RNA (406 nucleotides) under uncultured bacterium. RNAcentral describes it as "partial 16S ribosomal RNA". It matches the Rfam family "Bacterial small subunit ribosomal RNA", at positions 30 to 526 of the family's 1533-position model. The record is from RNAcentral.